This 253-nucleotide ribosomal RNA is filed under the name uncultured bacterium. RNAcentral describes it as "partial 16S ribosomal RNA". It matches the Rfam family "Bacterial small subunit ribosomal RNA", at positions 524 to 776 of the family's 1533-position model. The record is from RNAcentral.
UACGUAGGGUGCGAGCGUUAAUCGGAAUUACUGGGCGUAAAGCGUGCGAAGGCGGUUUUGUAAGGCAGAUGUGAAAUCCCCGGGCUUAACCUGGGAAUGGCAUUUGGGACUGCAAGGCUGGAGUGUGGCAGAGGAGACUGGAAUUCCUGGUGUAGCAGUGAAAUGCGUAGAUAUCAGGAGGAAUACCGAUGGCGAAGGCGGGACUCUGGGCCGAUACUGACGCUGAGGAGCGAAAGCGUGGGGAGCGAACAGG